ACAGGAAAUCCAAUGUGACCUCAUGAUAUGAUGACGAUGAUGAUGCAUUUGUUUUGCAGAUUACAAAUCAUAAUAAUAAACUUCAUAAUAUCAUGAGGUCACAUUGGAUUUCCUGUAAAACAGCAGGGUUUAUAGCUACAAAGCUGUAGUUUGUGCAGGUUCAAGAUUUAUUUUGUAAAAAUUUAUUGAUAUCAACAUAAUUUAACACCCC
Molecule: unclassified non-coding RNA, 211 nt
Filed under: Hevea brasiliensis (rubber tree)
Lineage: Eukaryota; Viridiplantae; Streptophyta; Magnoliopsida; Malpighiales; Euphorbiaceae
Source: RNAcentral